CGAACGAGUUCUCGUUGAUGAUCGGUGCUUGCACCGAGAUUCAACAUGGAACGAGUGGCGGACGGGUGAGUAACACGUGGGUAACCUGCCCUUAAGUGGGGGAUAACAUUUGGAAACAGAUGCUAAUACCGCAUAGAUCCAAGAACCGCAUGGUUCUUGGCUGAAAGAUGGCGUAAGCUAUCGCUUUUGGAUGGACCCGCGGCGUAUUAGCUAGUUGGUGAGGUAAUGGCUCACCAAGGCGAUGAUACGUAGCCGAACUGAGAGGUUGAUCGGCCACAUUGGGACUGAGACACGGCCCAAACUCCUACGGGAGGCAGCAGUAGGGAAUCUUCCACAAUGGACGCAAGUCUGAUGGAGCAACGCCGCGUGAGUGAAGAAGGCUUUCGGGUCGUAAAACUCUGUUGUUGGAGAAGAAUGGUCGGCAGAGUAACUGUUGUCGGCGUGACGGUAUCCAACCAGAAAGCCACGGCUAACUACGUGCCAGCAGCCGCGGUAAUACGUAGGUGGCAAGCGUUAUCCGGAUUUAUUGGGCGUAAAGCGAGCGCAGGCGGUUUUUUAAGUCUGAUGUGAAAGCCCUCGGCUUAACCGAGGAAGCGCAUCGGAAACUGGGAAACUUGAGUGCAGAAGAGGACAGUGGAACUCCAUGUGUAGCGGUGAAAUGCGUAGAUAUAUGGAAGAACACCAGUGGCGAAGGCGGCUGUCUGGUCUGUAACUGACGCUGAGGCUCGAAAGCAUGGGUAGCGAACAGGAUUAGAUACCCUGGUAGUCCAUGCCGUAAACGAUGAAUGCUAGGUGGUUGGGAGGGUUUCCGCCCUUCAGUGCCGCAGCUAACGCAUUAAGCAUUCCGCCUGGGGGAGUACGACCGCAAGGUUGAACUCAAGGAAUUGACGGGGGCCCGCACAAGCGGUGGAGCAUGUGGUUUAUUCGAAGCAACGCGAGAGCUUACCAGUCUUGACAUCUUUUGAUCACUGAGAGAUCAGUU
RNAcentral lists this ribosomal RNA (982 nucleotides) under Lacticaseibacillus paracasei subsp. paracasei. Its description in RNAcentral is "bacterial SSU rRNA". It matches the Rfam family "Bacterial small subunit ribosomal RNA", at positions 63 to 1012 of the family's 1533-position model. RNAcentral also lists the same sequence under 1 other name. Lineage: Bacteria; Bacillati; Bacillota; Bacilli; Lactobacillales; Lactobacillaceae. The record is from RNAcentral.